UCCACGUGCUGAUUUGUUCCCAUUAUGUCAUUUGGAGAAAAAUGAUACACUAGUAUUGACAAACCAAAGUAAAAGAGGAAUAUUUAUCUAUAACCGGAGAGAUAAUAGACUAAUGAAAAUCUCUAACCCUCUUUGGUACACUUGCGCCAAUUAUGUUGAAAGCUUGGUAUCUUAUUGUUGAAAGUAAGUUCUUCUACCGCAAUUUACUUGUUUCAAGUUCACUUACUUCUGUUAAUAUUUUCUCAUGAAGGGUUUGACAACUUUUGAAUCUUUUGACAGUUUUUCUCAUGAAGGGUUCAAUGACUUCUUGAUUCAUUUUGGAUUCAUAAUUUGUCCGCAAAUUCUCGCGUUUAAGUGUUUGUUUCAUCAUGAUUCAUGACCUUGAAGCAAAAGCCAUUUACAAACCAUAUAGAAAUCAUGUAUUAGGUUCAAAAAUGGAUUUUCUUCUUUUAGUUUUCUAGAGUAGAGGUUGAAUUUUAUAUAGAAGUAAUUUUCUCUAAUUUCAGUUUUCUUUGCAUUUCAACAACAGUCUAUGUUUUGUCUAUGUAUGGUUCGUUUACACUUGAGGUGCUAGUUUAAAAUUUAUUUUGGAGAUGGUUAUAAAAU
RNAcentral lists this long non-coding RNA (606 nucleotides) under Lathyrus oleraceus (garden pea). RNAcentral describes it as "Pisum sativum (pea) long non-coding RNA (PSAT_LNC011124)". The record is from RNAcentral. Lineage: Eukaryota; Viridiplantae; Streptophyta; Magnoliopsida; Fabales; Fabaceae.